Molecule: unclassified non-coding RNA, 449 nt
Filed under: Hevea brasiliensis (rubber tree)
Lineage: Eukaryota; Viridiplantae; Streptophyta; Magnoliopsida; Malpighiales; Euphorbiaceae
Source: RNAcentral
GUCUAGGGAGAUGAAACGAAGGAACCAAAGAUAGUUUGCAGCUUUAAUCUUAUGGAGCUUUAGCUGGAAAACUUCCUUUGGUACUAAUAUAGAGUCCGACAAUAGCAACAUUUAGCAGUAGUCCCAAUGAUAGUCACCGACCUCUCUUCCUGAUGUUUUCUUUUAUAUUUGUUGCUCUAGGGUUAGGUCAUUUUUUAGUCCAAAAGGCUUUAGGAGUCUCGUUUGAAUCAGAAAAAAGGAGGGAUAUUCGAGUUACAAAACUGGCUGCAGCAUAGUACACAGCCCGUGUGUCACUAGACAGGUCCCGUAAUGUAAGCCUGUGUAACUUGCUGGAGGAGAAUCACGUAAUCUUGUUUUGGCACAGAAAGUUACACGGGUCUGUGCCAACUACACAGGCCUGAUUACACAAGCCGUGUACUGUUGUUCUCAUAAGGUUCAUCAAGCUUGCA